RNAcentral lists this ribosomal RNA (253 nucleotides) under uncultured bacterium. RNAcentral's name for it is "partial 16S ribosomal RNA". It matches the Rfam family "Bacterial small subunit ribosomal RNA", at positions 524 to 776 of the family's 1533-position model. The record is from RNAcentral.
UACAGAGGUCUCAAGCGUUGUUCGGAUUCAUUGGGCGUAAAGGGUGCGUAGGCGGCGCGGUAAGUCGGGUGUGAAAUCUCGGAGCUUAACUCCGAAACUGCAUUCGAUACUGCCGUGCUUGAGGACUGGAGAGGAGACUGGAAUUUACGGUGUAGCGGUGAAAUGCGUAGAUAUCAGGAGGAACACCAAUUGCGAAGGCAGCUCGCUGGGACGGUACUGACGCUGAGACGCGAAAGCGUGGGGAGCGAACAGG